AUCGAGAUGGAAUCAAAAAAGGCCAACUACAGUGAUACCUGCCACCACAUUGAUGGGUUGCUAAGCAACCUAGAGGAUGGGAGGAGUAAACUAGAUGACUUAUGGGCCACAAGAAGGCUUAAACUAGAACUGUGUUUGCAGCUCAGGCAUUUUGAAAGAGAUGCAUUAGAGUUACUAAGUCAGCUGCCAAUUUGGACGCAAGAGAUGCACAAUAGGGAUUUCAGCUUUGAUCUGGAUGCAGCAGAUUUCAUUCUAAAGAGUCAUUUAGAGCUUGUAGAAAGUAUUCAAGAAAACACUGUUCAACUCAUUCAAAAGGGCAGAGACCUGGUCCAGCUCUUUGACUCGGCUGGGAAGGUCUCCAUGAAAACGGGCUCCAUCCCGGCCCAGACCCGAAUCACGGUGCUCCUGGACGACAUCCGAGAUGCCUACCUGGAGCUGGAGGAUGUGUCAGAGAGUAGGAGGAUCCAGCUGGAGCAGUGCAGGGACCUCAGGCAGUUUGAGGUCGACGCUGAACAGGUUGAGACCUGGAUCCACACUGCUGAGAAGAUGCUGGCCGUAGCUGCUAUACCAAACUCACUCAAUGAGGCAGAGCAACUACAGGCAGAACAUCAGCAAUUUGAACUCGCUAUCGAGAAAACACAAGAAAGUGCAAUACGUCUUCACGACACUGCCUUCAAGCUCUUAGAAUCAAGACACUAUGAUUCUGAGAGGAUACAAGGAAUUGCCUCUAGUAUCGAGAGGAGAUGGCAGGCCCUUGUCAUGCAAUCAGAAGAUAGGAGGAAACUCUUCCAGUAUGCUGCCAGCUUUUACAAGACUUCAGAUAAGGUGCAAUCAGUGUUAGAAGAUCUCGAGAGGGAGUACACUCGGGAGGAGGACCUCUGCGGUGGGGGUAGCGGGGACCGUUCCCCUCCUCAGGUCAGUGAUGCCGACAUCGCCAAACACAUGAGCAGGCAUCAAGACCAGAAGGAAAGCUUCUUGAGGGCGUGUACCAUGGCCAGGCGCAACGCAGAAAGUUUCCUCAAGUACCUAAAAAAGUGCAAUGUUUACUCAAGCCAACAGGGCUCUAGUAUGGCCGACAGGACGAGAGGGCCUGAAGGUUAUGUCAAAAGAAUACUAGAAGAAUUACUGUUACAAGAAGACAAGGUGUUAGACCAUUGGACUCAGAAGAAGAAGCGAUUGGACCAAUGCUUGCAAUAUGUCCUGUUUGAAGCUAGUGCUAGACAGGCUUUAAAUUGGAUCCAUGAUACGGGAGAGUUCUAUCUGUCAACCCAUACCAAGCUAGGGGAGGAUAAGGAGGAGACAGAGGGACUACUCACUGAGUACAAUGAAUUCAAGAGUGCUGCUAAGGAAAAUGGUGAGAAGGUCAAGUUAUUACUACGACUGGCUGACAGUCAGCUUGAGAAGGGUCAAUCUCACGCCUCCCGGAUCAAGUCAUGGGUCAGUGCAGUGGACAAGAGGUAUAGAGACUUCUCACUACGAAUGGACAAAUACAGGGCUCAACUGGAAGGCAAGCUGGGUCUAAGUCAUGAGGAUGAUGGAAAUCUCUCAUUAGACAAUCGGAAAUCAGACUCUAGUCUGGAAGUAAAGUUAAGAGAUGUUGCCAAGGGUGUGGGUGAGGAGAAGAGAAAAUCAGCAAGGAAAAGAGAGUUCAUCAUGGCUGAGUUACUACAAACAGAGCAGGCUUAUGUUAGAGAUCUUCACUGCUGUCUCACGAACUACAUGUGUGAAAUGAUGGCAUCAGUAGGAGAGGUACCAGGUGGCAUCAUUGGAAAGGAAAAUAUCAUUUUUGGGAAUAUCGAGGAAAUUUAUGCCUUUCAUAAAGACAUUUUCUUAAAGGAACUAGAGAAAUAUGAAGCAAUGCCCGAAGAUGUCGGCCAUUGCUUCGUCACAUGGGCCGACAAAUUCCAGAUGUAUGUAACCUACUGCAAGAACAAACCAGAUUCAAAUGCCUUAUUAGUUGAACACGGAGGAGCUUUCUUUGAUGAGAUGCAAAAGAAGCACAACCUUGGUCUCUCAGUUCAAGCUUAUAUAAUCAAGCCAGUACAAAGAAUAACUAAAUAUCAGUUGCUGCUCAAGGAUCUUCUUGCUACUUGCGAGGAAGGAAAAGGAGAAAUCCAGGAUGCACUUGACGUGAUGUUAACAGUACCAAAGAAAGCUAAUGAUGCAAUGCACGUCAGCAUGUUAGAAGGAUUUGACGACUAUCUACAAGCUCAUGGGGAAGUGAUCCUCCAGGAUUCUUUCCAGGUCUGGGACACUAAACAGAUAUUCAGGAAAGGUCGUGAGAGGCACAUCUUCCUCUUUGAGAUGUUUCUCGUCUUCAGCAAGGAAACCAAGGACAGUACUGGAAAGACCAAAUAUGUUUACAAGAGCAAGAUGGAUACUUCUGAUCUUGGCAUAACAGAACACAUAGAGGGUGACCAUUGUAAGUUUGCUCUAUGGACGGGUAGAACGCCAUCUUCAGACAAUAGAAUAGUACUCAAGGCUCAGAAUAUGGACAACAAGCAGGAAUGGAUCAGGAAACUGAGAGAAGUCAUACAGGAUAGGCAGAUCCACCUUAGAGCAGCUCUUAUUGAUACAGUAAAGUUCUCAAAAUCGUCCUUCACCCAAAGUGCCCCAUCCACCUCUGGUAGUCUCAGUCAGAAAUCCAGCAGGAGUUAUAAUUCGGAAGAAAGUCUGAAUGAUGAAUCUUUGCUGGAACGAUAUGACAGGAACUCCAUAACCUCAGUAUCAACAAACAACACCAAUUAUACAGAUAACAGUGAUAAGGUAAGCUGAUGAUGAUUGGAUGCUAUAGUUUGACUGGCUUUGGGUGAUUUCAAGUUCAGUGUUUAAAGUCGGUGUUCAUGUCCAGGUACAACUAGAACCAGGCACAUGAAUCUUGUUUGGUGUUUGGACAUUGCUAGUACCAUCCACAACAUCAAUUCUAAAAUGAAGUUAGUGCUGGUGUUUAGAAUUGCUAGCAUCAGCCACAACACCAAACAAAAAAGAAGAAAAAACAAAAGCAUUAAAUUAAGAUUUGCGUUGGUGUUGAGACACUGCUAGCACCAGCUGCUACACCAAACCUUAAAUGAAGAUGGUGUUUGUGUUCGACAUUGCUAGCACCAAUAUGCUACACCAAACCCAAACCUAAAUUGAAGCUGGUAUUGGUGAUGGAGUUGGGACAUUGCUAGCACCAUCUCCAACACCAAACCUAAAUUGAAGCUGGUAUUGGUGUUGGUGUUGGGACAUUGCUAGCACCAGCCAAUUCACCACACCUAAAAUGAAACUGAUGCUGAGGAUUUGUGUUAAUGAGUGUUGAGUUAACCAAUUGAGUUAAAAAUUUCCUCUUGUCAGUUUGAAGAUAAAUCUUGAUCAAGGAAGAAUGCCGUAGCAUGAAGAAGAUUAUGAUGUAUGAGUAUUUGGUAACUGAUUAUUAAGAAUGUCAUCUGAAGAUUGAUUGGCCUGCUUAAUACUACUGAGAAAAAAUAAUAAUGAAAUAAGAAAAAGAAUAAAUAAUGGUCAUUUAAAUUGUUUUAAUUGGAUUGAUGUCCAGAACAGAUGUAUGAUUCUCUAACUGAUUGGAAUGAUGAUGAAUGUAUAUGUGAUGAUUAGCUGGUAGAUUAAACAUGAUGUAUCCAGCACAAAACCAUAGCAUGAGGUUGAUAGCAUGAUAAUGCUAACUAUUUCAGGGAAACUAGGUUGAACAGCUAUAAUAAAUCAGAAGCUUAAUGAGGUUAAUUAAGGUUAUUAAUCUUUUAUUUUUAUAUUCAUUGAUGAAUGUGGGUGCUGAGUGGAAGGCUGCAUUGUACCUAAAGUUGUCAUCAAAUUUAAGUGAUGUCAUUAGCACUGGUGGGGGCACUUAGGGGGGUGGUUUGCUUGUAAAAUUUUUCCUCGGAAAAAUGUGCCCCCCGUUUUGGAAAAUCUAAUUCAUAACAAAGAGAAAGAUGGAAAAGAUAAUUAGCAAAUGAAAAAUAGUUAAAUAAAUACUGCUGACACUGCAAGUCUCCGAGUGUAUAUAUCAUGCUUGGUAUUGAAAAAAAAUAUAUAAAAGACAUGCACGCAUUACCAUGCGAGUUUCCAUCCUUUCCAUGAAGUUACACACGCAAAUGUGCUUUAUUCAAGUGAAUAUCAUUUUAUAAAAUAUACAUGUGAUCAGUUAUCCCUUUAUUAGCUUCUUCAUUAUGAAGAUUAUAGCAUUCUUAAGUUUGGAAUUGAAUUGUUUGACUACUCUUUUUUGCAUCAACAUAAUGUCUGAAUGUAGAGACUAGAAGUUUUCUACACAAGUACACACUUGACUGUUUUUUAACCUUGUCUACAACACUUCUAAGAACCCUUAAUGAACUACAAAACACUGCAUGUGAAUGCAAUUGGUUCUUACUUCAACUACAGACAAGACAAUCUACAUGCUAGACUCUUGUUAUUUAGUUUGAUAUUAUGAGCUCUUUGUAUUGGUGAUGCCAUGGGGAUGUGGGAUGUUGGGCACCCACCCUUAUGAUUUUUAAAGUAAUGGGAAAAAAAACCAUGACAAACAUGUAGGAAUUUGAAUUGCAUUGAUAUCUUUUGUUUAGUGCUGAAAAGAAGAUUUCUUGAAUUGGCAUUGUGAUAGAAAGUUGAAAGUGUCUGUUUUCUUUGCCAAUGUCUUACUCCUAAAUAUAUUUUAGUUAAUUGAUAUUUAUAUCAGGAACAUGAACUUCCCCC
This is an RNA transcript of Lytechinus pictus (painted urchin), 4677 nucleotides long. It is a transcript of the gene named kalirin-like, with no coding region annotated. NCBI's taxonomy places the organism in Eukaryota, Metazoa, Echinodermata, Echinoidea, Temnopleuroida, Toxopneustidae. The transcript is spliced from 20 exons. The record is from RefSeq and is a predicted model, not a curated record.